RNAcentral lists this ribosomal RNA (531 nucleotides) under uncultured bacterium. RNAcentral describes it as "bacterial SSU rRNA". It matches the Rfam family "Bacterial small subunit ribosomal RNA", at positions 979 to 1509 of the family's 1533-position model. The record is from RNAcentral.
CCGUUGACAUCCACGGAAUUUGGCAGAGAUGCCUUAGUGCCUUCGGGAACCGUGAGACAGGUGCUGCAUGGCUGUCGUCAGCUCGUGUUGUGAAAUGUGGGUUAAGUCCCGCAACGAGCGCAACCCUUAUCCUUUGUUGCCAGCGGCUCGGCCGGGAACUCAAAGGAGACUGCCGGUGAUAAACCGGAGGAAGGUGGGGAUGACGUCAAGUCAUCAUGGCCCUUACGGCCAGGGCUACACACGUGCUACAAUGGCGCAUACAAAGAGAAGCGACCUCGCGAGAGCAAGCGGGACCUCAUAAAGUGCGUCGUAGUCCGGAUUGGAGUCUGCAACUCGACUCCAUGAAGUCGGAAUCGCUAGUAAUCGUAGAUCAGAAUGCUACGGUGAAUACGUUCCCGGGCCUUGUACACACCGCCCGUCACACCAUGGGAGUGGGUUGCAAAAGAAGUAGGUAGCUUAACCUUCGGGAGGGCGCUUACCACUUUGUGAUUCAUGACUGGGGUGAAGUCGUAACAAGGUAGGCGUAGAUGA